GGACCAGACUUCAGCCUCCAUCCUCUGUCGAAGGCCCCAACAACGUGCAACUUACCAGACUUGGUGGUUCUCCAUUCUUCCUGACUUCAGCCUGGAUCUCCAUGAAGGUCUUCCCCUCCAUUCUGAGCUACACCGGGAUCCUCACACAACCCAGACAGCAAGCUCUGCUGCAUCCAGUGCCAGGCCAGACCACUGGCCGCAUCUUCUACGAGCCAGAUGCUUUUGAUGAUGUGGACCAAGAAGACCCAGAUGACGACCUAGAUAUUUGACAGACAUAUAGGAGAGGAAGGCUGUGGGCUCAGAACCAUCCUGCUGUUAGCAGACUCUGCCUUUGUUGCUUUGUCUGGAGAGGCUGUGUCUUGUGAGCCAAGGAGAAGCAUCAAGCUGGGGCAGAAAGGGUGGUGAGAGUGUAGUAUAUGCCCAGAGAAUAAGAAAUCCCCUCCUCCCGUGCCCAUUUCUAAUAAAAUAUAUGUGUGUGUUACUC
This 484-nucleotide long non-coding RNA is filed under the name Rattus norvegicus (Norway rat). RNAcentral's name for it is "long non-coding RNA NONRATT005603". Lineage: Eukaryota; Metazoa; Chordata; Mammalia; Rodentia; Muridae. The record is from RNAcentral.